CUACGGGUGGCUGCAGUGGGGAAUAUUGGACAAUGGGGGAAACCCUGAUCCAGCAAUGCCGCGUGUGUGAAGAAGGCCUGCGGGUUGUAAAGCACUUUCGGUUGGGAGGACUGCUUCUAGCACUAAUAUUGUUGGAAGUUGACGUUACCUUCAGAAGAAGCACCGGCUAGCUCCGUGGCCAGCAGCCGCGGUAAUACGGAGGGAGCAAGCGUUAAUCGGAAUUACUGGGCGUAAAGCGCGCGUAGGCGGCUAGAUCAGUCGGGUGUGAAAGCCCCGGGCUUAACCUGGGAACUGCAUCCGAUACUGUCUAGCUUGAGUACAGGAGAGGAGAGUGGAAUUCCACAUGUAGCGGUGAAAUGCGUAGAUAUGUGGAGGAACACCAAUGGCGAAGGCAGCUCUCUGGCCUGAUACUGACGCUGAGGUGCGAAAGCGUGGGGAGCAAACAGGAUUAGAUACCCGCGUAGUC
RNAcentral lists this ribosomal RNA (466 nucleotides) under uncultured bacterium. RNAcentral's name for it is "partial 16S ribosomal RNA". It matches the Rfam family "Bacterial small subunit ribosomal RNA", at positions 339 to 795 of the family's 1533-position model. The record is from RNAcentral.